CAGCCGCCGCGGUAAUACGUAGGUGGCAAGCGUUGUCCGGAAUUAUUGGGCGUAAAGGGCUCGCAGGCGGUUUCUUAAGUCUGAUGUGAAAGCCCCCGGCUCAACCGGGGAGGGUCAUUGGAAACUGGGAAACUUGAGUGCAGAAGAGGAGAGUGGAAUUCCACGUGUAGCGGUGAAAUGCGUAGAGAUGUGGAGGAACACCAGUGGCGAAGGCGACUCUCUGGUCUGUAACUGACGCUGAGGAGCGAAAGCGUGGGGAGCGAACAGGAUUAGAGACCCGAGAGUCCCUGUCUCUUAUACA
RNAcentral lists this ribosomal RNA (301 nucleotides) under uncultured bacterium. RNAcentral's name for it is "partial 16S ribosomal RNA". It matches the Rfam family "Bacterial small subunit ribosomal RNA", at positions 509 to 808 of the family's 1533-position model. The record is from RNAcentral.